UUAUUAUGUCAUAUCCUUUAGAAAUAUGGAACAUUCUGGGAGGCCGAGGUGGGCGGAUCACGAGGUCAGGAGAUUGAGACCAUCCUGGCUAACACGGUGAAACCCCGUCUCUACUAAAAAUACAAAAAAAUUAGCCGGGCGUGGCGGCGGGCGCCUGUAGUCCCAGCUACUUGGGAGGCUGAGGCAGGAGAAUGGUGCGAACCCGGGAGGCAGAUUUUGCAGAGAGCCGAGAUCGUGCCACUGCACUCCAGCCUGGGCGACAGAGCAAGACUCCGUCUCAAAACAAAAAACAAACAAACAAAUAUGGAGCAUUCUGAUAUGAAUAAGACACUUGCUCACUUCUCAAUUCCUUGGUGUCCAGCUCUACAAGUGUAUAUAGACUUCCAAAGAAUAUUUAAAUCCUUUAACAAAAAUGCCACCUAAGAAAAUAUGAAAUACUUCAGUCUGUCUGUCAGUGCUCACUUCCUGUCUAGAAACUUUCAGGCUCCGGCACAAAUGAACCAUGUUCUUCGCCUAAGUCAUUUAUGGAACAUCUGCUUUCGGUUUAGCAUCAGCUUUGUGACCUAGUAAUAUCUUUCUCGAGUGCAUGAAACAUCUCAGAAAUGCAAACAUCAAGGAAGAUACUAAUCCUUUCUUCCAGUUUCUGUGUGAGGGUUGGAGGCUGACUUUGGUGGUGAUCUUGCUCCAAAUUAUAGAACUACAUCCUGUCAUGAAGAGAAGUUUGUCUUCUCGAUAAAGCCAAGUAGCUAACAGAGAUGGUCACCCCAAUUACCAGAUGGACAUAAUUAUACUUGAAUGCUGACCUACAACAUUUUGUGCUGUGCAGAGGCUUUGAAAAUCAAACAACUUUGAAAAUACAAAGCACCGCGUGGAUGUUUCUUUGAUUUCUAAAGAAAUGCAUUUCUAAAAGUCUUAUGCUGUAAGGAUGCUGGAUGCGUAGUUUGACCAAUUAUGGCUCUUGAUGUCGACUGAAGUGGUCACUUGAUUCCUAUUAGCGGCCUCACUCUGUCGCUCAGGCUGGAGUGGCACGAUCUUGGCUCACUGCAGUCUCUGCCUCCUCCUCUUGGAUGCAAGCAAUUCGGCCUCCAAGUAGCUGAGAUUACAGGUGCGUGCCACCACACUCUGCUAAUUUCUGCAUUUUUAGUAGAGAUGGGGUUUCACCAUGUUGGCCAGACUGGUCUCCAACUCCUGGCCUCAAGUGAUCCACUUGCCUCAGCCACCCAAAGUUCUGGAUUACAGGCGUGAGCCAUUGCGCCUGGCCUAGUAAACAUAUUUUUUUUAAAUAAAAAUGUUAUUUUAUCAUUUACAUAAGAUCAAAAACAUGUCUAUUGGAUUCCACCGCCCAGAUCCUUACACUGUACAUUCUAUUUUGCCUCAAAUUUGACUCUCUUCACUUGCUUUUAAGCUCUGGAUGAGUUUGAUUCCAACUAGUUCAAAAGAAAAAUGGAGCAUCCCAAAAGAACAUAAAACUAAUAAAAAUCAACUUGUUUAUGAAUCUAAAAUGAUAAAAAGCAAUACAUUUAAAAUAAA
This 1530-nucleotide long non-coding RNA is filed under the name Homo sapiens (human). RNAcentral's name for it is "HSALNT0312836". The record is from RNAcentral. Lineage: Eukaryota; Metazoa; Chordata; Mammalia; Primates; Hominidae.